GACGAACGCUGGCGGCGUGCUUAACACAUGCAAGUCGAACGGAAAGGCCCCUUUGGGGGUACUCGAGUGGCGAACGGGUGAGUAACACGUGAGUAACCUGCCCUUGGCUUCGGGAUAACUUCAGGAAACUGGGGCUAAUACCGGAUAGGAAUCCUUGCUGCAUGGUGGGGGUUGGAAAGCUUCGGCGGUUUUGGAUGGACUCGCGGCUUAUCAGCUUGUUGGUGGGGUAGUGGCUUACCAAGGCUUUGACGGGUAGCCGGCCUGAGAGGGCGACCGGCCACAUUGGGACUGAGAUGCGGCCCAGACGCCUACGGGAGGCAGCAGUGGGGAAGAUUGCACAAUGGGCGGCAGCCUGAUGCAGCAACGCCGCGUGCGGGAUGACGGCCUUCGGGUUGUAAACCGCUUUCAGCAGGGGCGAAGCUUGUGGUGACGGUACCUGCAGAAGAAGCACCGGCUAACUACGUG
RNAcentral lists this ribosomal RNA (465 nucleotides) under uncultured bacterium. RNAcentral's name for it is "partial 16S ribosomal RNA". It matches the Rfam family "Bacterial small subunit ribosomal RNA", at positions 28 to 507 of the family's 1533-position model. The record is from RNAcentral.